CCUACGGGAGGCUGCAGUCGAGAAUCAUUCACAAUGGGGGAAACCCUGAUGGGGCGACGCCGCGUGGGGGAAUGAAGGUCUACGGAUUGUAAACCCCUGUCAUGUGGGAGCAAAUUAAAAAGAUAGUACCACAAGAGGAAGAGACGGCUAACUCUGUGCCAGCAGCCGCGGUAAUACAGAGGUCUCAAGCGUUGUUCGGAAUCACUGGGCGUAAAGCGUGCGUAGGCUGUUUCGUAAGUCGGGUGUGAAAGGCGCGGGCUCAACCCGCGGACGGCACAUGAUACUGCGAGACUAGAGUAAUGGAGGGGGAACCGGAAUUCUCGGUGUAGCAGUGAAAUGCGUAGAUAUCGAGAGGAACACUCGUUGCGAAGGCGGGUUCCUGGACAUUAACUGACGCUGAGGCACGAAGGCCAGGGGAGCGAAAAGGAUUAGAUACCCCAGUAGUC
This 446-nucleotide ribosomal RNA is filed under the name uncultured bacterium. RNAcentral's name for it is "partial 16S ribosomal RNA". It matches the Rfam family "Bacterial small subunit ribosomal RNA", at positions 338 to 795 of the family's 1533-position model. The record is from RNAcentral.